UGCGUUUUUGGGUUGUAUGAUAUACUCCAAAUUUUAUUCUUAUUCUUAUUUUUCCUUUUCAUUGUAUAGUGUAGCUAGGGUUGGUUUUGAGGUUAUAUAUAGUUGCGUGUAUGCAUUAUCCUUGAGCACGUUGUUCUUCUGUGAGAUUUGGGCUAGAACGGCAAGAGUUUCUACAUAUCAAUGGUGCCUUAUGAGUGUCACGGUCCUACCCUAGAUAGAACCGGGGGGGAUAAGAGUAAGCAUUAGUGGAGUGGGAAUGUGGUUCUUGUUAGAAAGUUAAGAGAUAUAAAGAGCGAAGAGAAGUUUAGUGUAUAAGUAGAAAACCUUGGGCAAUUGUUUUGUGAAAGAAAGAAAGCGUGGGUACGUUGUUAUGAAGUGUUAAGGGUGAGUAUUAUAUGUUUACAUGUGAGGAGCUAGGAGAUAGGGAGGUAUAGAGAGGUUGGAGUUUGCUUUGGAUACUGGAAUGAGGUGGUAUGGCAUAGUUUCGGGUGAGUGAACAAAUAUUGAUUGUAAGGGACUUGGCAAAGAGUAGUUUUCAAAAUUAAAAUUGAAAGAGAGAGGUUUGGGGAGUGUCGUGAUUUUUGGGAGUGAGGAGAAGGGUUAGAGGUUGACGUAGAGGUAGUGAGGUUGGGGCUGCAUUACUAGUAAAUGUAUGAGUUUAAGUGCAGGUUUUAAGAAAGAAGUAGAAAAUAAAAGAAAAGAAGAUGGGGUAACGUAGUAAGUGUUGGACGUGAGGUUUAUAAGAGUGAAAUGGUGAUAAGGUGAGAAUGUUAGUGGUUUUGUUGUAGCAUAAUAGAUAUAGGAGAAUGUGUAUUUGUAGAUGUGUAGUUGAGAGGAGGAAAAUGGAAUAGAUGGGGAGAAGUUAAUAUUAGUAGUAUUGGUUGAAAGAGAAAAGUGAAAGGUAGAGAAAGAGAGAAAAGAAAUAGAAGGGGUCGUAUGCAUGGGCUAUUGGACUCUGAGAGAAGUAAUGAAGGAAAUGCAAUGAUUAAUUGAUGAAAUUAAGUUUUUGGUGCAGAGAGAAUUCAUCAAGGGGCUACAUGGUACUUUCUUUCCAAUAUAAUAUGAAGAUAAUUAAAAGGGGAUUUUCCUUGGAGGAACCCAUUUCGGGAGAAGGCAAAACCUAGCCUUUGGGGUUUGGGAAGAUGUGCGAGAAAUUGGGUUGUUGAGGAGGAAAUAGGAUGAUGAGUUUAUGGAUUUGUUAGGUUUCCUUUUAAUAUCAAGAUUGAUAUAAAUAAUAUAUUAUACUACAUUCAUUCUGUUUUGUGAUCUUUGUAUA
This 1276-nucleotide long non-coding RNA is filed under the name Vigna radiata. Its description in RNAcentral is "long non-coding RNA (VRAD_LNC012245)". Lineage: Eukaryota; Viridiplantae; Streptophyta; Magnoliopsida; Fabales; Fabaceae. The record is from RNAcentral.